GUUGUUGCAGUUAAAAAGCUCGUAGUUGGAUUUCUGGUGGGAGCGCCCGGUCCUACCCUAACGGGUUGUGUACUGGCGGCGUCUUUCGCCAUCCUUGGGGAGAGCGUUCCGAGCAUUAAGUUGUUUGGUUCGGGAUCCUCAUCUUUUACUGUGAAAAAAUUAGAGUGUUUAGAGCAGGCAAUUGCUGUGAAUACAUUAGCAUGGAAUAAUAAGAUAGGACUUUGGUGCUAUUUUGUUGGUUUGCACACCGAGGUAAUGAUUAACAGGGACAGUUGGGGGUAUUCGUAUUUAAUUGUCAGAGGUGAAAUUCUUGGAUUUAUGAAAGACGAACUACUGCGAAAGCAUUUACCAAGGAUGUUUUCAUUAAUCAAGAACGAAAGUUAGGGGAUCGAAGAUGAUUAGAUACCAUCGUAGUCUUAACCAUAAACUAUGCCGACUAGGGAUUGGCAGACGUUAUUUGAUGACUCUGUCAGCACCUUAUGAGAAAUCAAAGUCUUUGGGUUCCGGGGGGAGUAUGGUCGCAAGGCUGAAACUUAAAGGAAUUGACGGAAGGGCACCACCAGGAGUGGAGCCUGCGGCUUAAUUUGACU
This 590-nucleotide ribosomal RNA is filed under the name uncultured marine eukaryote. RNAcentral's name for it is "bacterial SSU rRNA". It matches the Rfam family "Eukaryotic small subunit ribosomal RNA", at positions 609 to 1200 of the family's 1831-position model. The record is from RNAcentral.